GCUGGCGCAGGCUAUGGGCUGGGCGGCGGUUGAGACAGCGGCGGUAUCGGGAGGGGUAGGUGAGGGUCGCGAGGCUGCGUGAGCAUCUGAGUGAACGCGGUGCUUUUGGGAACGCGGGACGGGCGACCUGUGGCGCCAGGAGCGGGCCGAGGCGUGGCGCACGGAUGCCGUCUGGAUGGGAAGUUACGGUUUACAGCGAAGUCCACCCAGCGUUUCCGAGGCUGGUGAUGGGCAAGCCGGGUGUACCAAGUCCAGGAUGCACAUGAGGAGCGUUUGUAGCAGUCACUGAAUCACCUCAUGACUAGCGGGGCAGGCCUCUAAUUCACCGCAGGAUUUCCGGUAGGUUGGAUUGUGGGGUUGGUGUUUGCACUCCAAAGAGUUGCUGUGAUUUCCCUGUAUCUGUCUUUCUGGCUUGUUAGAUCUUCUCAUUUGGCGUCCUUUCUCCGAAGAGUUAACCAAGACGUUUGGCAUGGUUUCCUUGCUUUCCUCCUAUCUUUUGCUGCUAGAGCUGCUUUCGAAAAGAAGUCUUUUCUUGCAGUGGUAUCUUUUCUUUGGGUUACAGUGUUGUUCAUCCUUUCUUUGCCGAAAGAAUGAAUCCCAGUGCUUCACAAGGUUAAAGGAAAGAUCUGCUGGUAGUGUUUAGUCUUUGUUCUGAGCUGAUAUGUGUUAGUAGCUUUUUGUUUUUAAAUUUUAUUAGUAAAAUUUCACCAGUGAACCAGAAGCUCUUUUUUUC
Molecule: long non-coding RNA, 733 nt
Filed under: Homo sapiens (human)
Lineage: Eukaryota; Metazoa; Chordata; Mammalia; Primates; Hominidae
Description: non-protein coding lnc-NBPF15-4:4
Source: RNAcentral